GACGAACGCUGGCGGCGUGCUUAACGCAUGCAAGUCGAACGAUGAACCCGGAGCUUGCUCUGGGGGAUUAGUGGCGAACGGGUGAGUAACACGUGAGUAACCUGCCCUGGACUCUGGGAUAAGCGUUGGAAACGACGUCUAAUACCGGAUAGGACCUUGGAUCGCAUGAUCUGGGGUGGAAAGUUUUUUCGGUCUGGGAUGGACUCGCGGCCUAUCAGCUUGUUGGUGAGGUAAUGGCUCACCAAGGCGUCGACGGGUAGCCGGCCUGAGAGGGUGACCGGCCACACUGGGACUGAGACACGGCCCAGACUCCUACGGGAGGCAGCAGUGGGGAAUAUUGCACAAUGGGCGAAAGCCUGAUGCAGCAACGCCGCGUGCGGGAUGACGGCCUUCGGGUUGUAAACCGCUUUUAGUAGGGAAGAAGGGCUUCGGCUUGACGGUACCUGCAGAAAAAGGACCGGCUAACUACGUG
This 472-nucleotide ribosomal RNA is filed under the name uncultured bacterium. RNAcentral's name for it is "partial 16S ribosomal RNA". It matches the Rfam family "Bacterial small subunit ribosomal RNA", at positions 28 to 507 of the family's 1533-position model. The record is from RNAcentral.